Molecule: transfer RNA, 58 nt
Filed under: Salmo salar (Atlantic salmon)
Lineage: Eukaryota; Metazoa; Chordata; Actinopteri; Salmoniformes; Salmonidae
Rfam family: tRNA
About the family: Transfer RNA (tRNA) molecules are approximately 80 nucleotides in length. Their secondary structure includes four short double-helical elements and three loops (D, anti-codon, and T loops).
Source: Rfam by way of RNAcentral
UGGCUCUGUUGGUAGAGCAUGGUGCUUGCAAUGCCAAGGCUGUGGGUUCAAUACCCAU